GAAUACUCUUCUUCACUAAGUUAUGAAGAUCAUGGAUGAACAAGAUGAAUAUUCAAGCGUUGACCAAGUUUGACCACCUAGCAAAUGAGCUCCAAAUCUGAUUUUUUUUGUAGCCCUAGGUUCCUUAUGUCAAAACAACUUAAACCAACCAAAAAUCAGCCACAAAUCAAGCAUAAAUCACCAAGACAAAAACGUGUAUAGCACAAAAUGCU
This 212-nucleotide long non-coding RNA is filed under the name Capsicum annuum. RNAcentral's name for it is "long non-coding RNA (CANN_LNC006870)". The record is from RNAcentral. Lineage: Eukaryota; Viridiplantae; Streptophyta; Magnoliopsida; Solanales; Solanaceae.